Molecule: ribosomal RNA, 424 nt
Filed under: uncultured bacterium
Lineage: Bacteria
Description: bacterial SSU rRNA
Rfam family: Bacterial small subunit ribosomal RNA
Source: RNAcentral
AUGGACUCGCGGCCUAUCAGCUUGUUGGUGAGGUAAUGGCUCACCAAGGCGACGACGGGUAGCCGGCCUGAGAGGGCGACCGGCCACACUGGGACUGAGACACGGCCCAGACUCCGUACGGGGAGGCAGCAGGUGGGGAAUAUUGCACAAUGGGCGAAAGCCUGAUGCAGCGACGCCGCGUGAGGGAUGAAGGCCUUCGGGUUGUAAACCUCUUUCAGUAGGGAAGAAGCGCAAGUGACGGUACCUACAGAAGAAGCACCGGCUAACUACGUGCCAGCAGCCGCGGUAAUACGUAGGGUGCGAGCGUUGUCCGGAAUUAUUGGGCGUAAAGAGCUUGUAGGCGGUUUGUCGCGUCUGCCGUGAAAAUCCGGGGCUCAACUCCGGACUUGCGGUGGGUACGGGCAGACUAGAGUGUGGUAGGGGA